GGGGUUGUAGCUUAGUGGUAGAGCACUUGCCUUGCAUGCAUGAGGCACUGGGUUCAAUCCUCAGCACCACA
This 71-nucleotide transfer RNA is filed under the name Marmota monax (woodchuck). RNAcentral describes it as "tRNA.Ala". It matches the Rfam family "tRNA". Rfam says of the family: Transfer RNA (tRNA) molecules are approximately 80 nucleotides in length. Their secondary structure includes four short double-helical elements and three loops (D, anti-codon, and T loops). Further hydrogen bonds mediate the characteristic L-shaped molecular structure. tRNAs have two regions of fundamental functional importance: the anti-codon, which is responsible for specific mRNA codon recognition, and the 3' end, to which the tRNAs corresponding amino acid is attached (by aminoacyl-tRNA synthetases). tRNAs cope with the degeneracy of the genetic code in two manners: having more than one tRNA (with a specific anti-codon) for a particular amino acid; and 'wobble' base-pairing, i.e. permitting non-standard base-pairing at the 3rd anti-codon position. The record is from RNAcentral. Lineage: Eukaryota; Metazoa; Chordata; Mammalia; Rodentia; Sciuridae.